UACGUAGGGGGCAAGCGUUGUCCGGAAUCAUUGGGCGUAAAGAGCGCGUAGGCGGUCCGGUAAGUCCGCUCUGAAAGUCCGGGGCUCAACCCCGGGAGGCGGGCGGAUACUGUCGGGCUAGAGUCCGGAAGAGGCGAGUGGAAUUCCUGGUGUAGCGGUGAAAUGCGCAGAUAUCAGGAGGAACACCGGCGGUGUAGACGGCUUUCUGGACCGUAGCUGACGCUGAGACACGAAAGCGUGGGUAGCAAACAGG
This 253-nucleotide ribosomal RNA is filed under the name uncultured bacterium. Its description in RNAcentral is "partial 16S ribosomal RNA". It matches the Rfam family "Bacterial small subunit ribosomal RNA", at positions 524 to 776 of the family's 1533-position model. The record is from RNAcentral.